AGGGGGCGGCGCCGCCGGCCGGACGUCCUCGAGGCGGACCGAGCCGGAGCGCUCGCGUCGGGACCCGAAAGGUGGUGAUCUAUCCGUGCGCGCGGCGAAGCCGGGGGAAACCCCGGUGGAGGCCCGUCGACGGUACUGACGUGCAAAUCGUUCGUCCGACGUGCGAAUAGGGGCGAAAGACCAAUCGAACCUCCUAGUAGCUGGUUUCCGCCGAAAUUUCCCUCAGGAUAGCGGCCAUCGCGGAAACGUUUUGACCGGUAGAGCGAACGACUAGAGGUACCGGGGCCGUAACGGCCUCGACCUAUUCUCGAACUCCGAACGGGCAAGGAGCCGGGGUCGCCCGAUCGGACCCCGGACGUGAAGUCGACGAUGGUCGGUGGGCUGGUUUUGGUAAGCAGAACGGGCGAUUCGGGAUGAACCGGAAGCGGGG
This 430-nucleotide ribosomal RNA is filed under the name uncultured eukaryote. Its description in RNAcentral is "eukaryotic LSU rRNA". It matches the Rfam family "Eukaryotic large subunit ribosomal RNA", at positions 750 to 1179 of the family's 3401-position model. The record is from RNAcentral.